CCGGAUAAAUCUUGCGUCAUCUGUUAGUUGAUUUCGCGUUUUCCGUCUUCCCGAUCCUGUCAUACUGUUUAAAUAACCGACAUGUCAAACGUCAAAUUCGAUCAAAUCGCUAACAAAUUUUGUAGUGAUUUUUGUCAUGGCAUAUAAAAUCCGAAUUUUGCAAAUUAGAUCUUGCGGUUUAUUAUCAUUUCAAACAAUUUUCGCGGACUUGGCGCAAUCUUGUAUCAAGUAUGAUGUCCGCCACGAGUAAUUCCUCUCGCAAAGUCUGUUGCUUUUGCAACUUAACGGAAGACGAUGAACUGAAAUAUGGUAAAUUCUACGAGUAUAAUGGAAUUGUUACACAUUAUUAUUGUUUGCUCCUUUCUUCGAACAUGGAACAGAAAGGAAACGAUGACGAGGGUAUACUUGGAUUUCUGAUAGAAGACAUACAAAAGGAACUUCGCAGAGGAAAGAGAUUGACAUGUUCUUAUUGCAAAAAGAUUGGUGCUACUUUAGGCUGUUGUAAUGUAAGGUGUAGACGAACAUUUCAUUUCCCUUGCGGCUUGAAAGAUGGUUCAUUAUAUCAAUAUUUUGGAGAAUUUAGAUCAUAUUGUAUAAAUCAUAGACCAAAGCAACAAAUCGAUGAACAUAUUUUAAAACAGAUUAGUCCAUUAGAUAAUACAUUAUGUUAUAUUUGUUACAACAAGGUAAACCCCAUCGAUUUUGUAAAAACCUUAUGGGCCCCUUGUUGUAAAAAAAAUGCAUUCUUUCAUCAUAAAUGUAUUCAGCAACUUGCUUUAAGUACAGGAUAUUUCUUCAAGUGUCCUCUUUGUAAUAAUAAUAAAGAUUUUCAAAAUGCUAUGUUAGAAUAUGGCAUUUUUAUCCCAAAUCAGGAUGCAUCAUGGGAAUUGGAACCAAAUGCGUUUGAAGAGCUUUUAUAUAGACAUGAUCAAUGCGACGCAGUGAACUGUCUUUGUCCAAAGGGAAGGAAGCAUGUAAGCAGUAAUGCUAAAUGGGAAUUGAUAUUAUGUCAGACUUGUGGAUCGCAAGGUAUUCACAGGGCAUGCGGACAAUUAAAAUGGGCUGAUCCUGUAUGGGAAUGCACUGAAUGUACUUCCAUAUUAUAUAAUUCUAAAAGUAAUGAAGAUGCAAAAUCAGCAGACAGUAGUUCUGAUGAUUUGAGUAUAGAUUCUGAUUCAGAUUCAUAUAGUGAUACAGAUAUCUCGGUGGGAAUGGACUUUCCUAUGCCCUCUUCAUCAUCCAGUUUUAAUUCAUCUUCGAUGUCGUUGCCGGAUUUAAUUUCGGAUAUUAGAUUGCGUCCUGGUCCACGUUCUUUUAAGUUAAAACAACAACUGAUUAAAUGUUUGGAAUUAACACGUUCUCUUGGGAAGGAUAUAACUACUAAAGUUAACGAAGAUAUCAAUGCAUCACUAAAGAACAAUGAUAAAGAAAAUUCUUUAACAAAUAAUGAUAAUGAUUCUCUUUCCACUCCAAAAGAAAAACUGCUGUUUAGCAAUGAUGUAACAUCUCAACUAAUUCGAAAAGAAAUAGAUGUUGUCACAAUUGACAGUGAUGAUGAUGAUGAUGAUGAAAUUUUUACAGUAAAACGAAGAACAAAUCUUUUAACUCCGCUAUUGACAUCUCAAUCAAGUUUGCUUAAUGCAUCAUCAAAGAAUAUUAUUAAGUCAAAAUUAAACACAGUAGAAAAUUCAACAUCUAAAAAUUUAAAUGCAACAUCGACUUUAUUGGAAAAAGAUAACAUUAAGUCACACAAAUCUGCAUCAAAAUCAAAAAUUGUAAACAAAAAUGAAUCUAUCAUUUCUGAACAAUAUGAUGUAGCUUUGCGAGAAUUCAUGUCAGAUCUGAUUAUAAAGAAUGAUUUAAAUAAUGAUUUAGAUGACUUGAAUAUAGAUGGAAAUCCUUUUAUGAAUAUCAAUAAUACUGGUGCUACUUCUCAAUCACCAAAAGUGUUUAAAAGUGUACCUGAUCCAUUACAUGACAGUUCCUUUGAGGCUUCAUCUUCGACGUGUAAAUCGUUGGAGAAACUCGUCACAUACAUCUUGCCUUCGAAGCGUAUAUAUGAAGAAGAGAAUAAUGUUGUCAAUAAGUGUAAAAAAAUCAAAGGAUACAACGAAAAGUCUUGGGAAAAAAAAUCAUUGGCCUUCUGCAUUGUGUCUAAUGCAAACAAGCAGCAAAAUAGAAAAACAUCUCCAAUCAAGACCAAUGAGAUUUGUGAAAAUAAAAAUUCCUUGAAAUAUACAUCUAUAAACGAACUUUACAAUUUAUCAAUCAGUCGAAAGAAGAUAAAUUCAUCAAAUGAAUUCAUCAGAACUGUAUGUACAAUAGCAACGCCAUUGAAUUGCACAACACUGUCGCGACUCACAACGUCUUCCUCCGAGUUACAAAUAAACACAAUACCUGUUAUCAACCUAGAUUGAUACUGCAAUAUAUAAAUUUACACGAUCUAAAGUUUCGAGUCUGCAAAUUAGAGAAUGUUGAGGGAAAAGAUACGAGUGAACCAUUUGAUUAACGAUAAAAGCAAAUGCUUGAUUAGGAAGAAAGAGAAUUUAGAUUCUAUUAGAUCGAAAAUGUCUUCUCAUAACAAUACAUUUGAUAAUGGAAAAUGCACUUGUAGAAUUGGAUUUGGAUUAUCACCGAG
RNAcentral lists this unclassified non-coding RNA (2638 nucleotides) under Camponotus floridanus (Florida carpenter ant). Its description in RNAcentral is "uncharacterized LOC112639372, transcript variant X3". Lineage: Eukaryota; Metazoa; Arthropoda; Insecta; Hymenoptera; Formicidae. The record is from RNAcentral.